UGGGGAAUAUUGCACAAUGGGCGCAAGCCUGAUGCAGCCAUGCCGCGUGUGUGAAGAAGGCCUUCGGGUUGUAAAGCACUUUCAGCGGGGAGGAAGGCGUUAAGGUUAAUAACCUUGGCGAUUGACGUUACCGACAGAAGAAGCACCGGCUCACUCCGUGCCAGCAGCCGCGGUAAUACGGAGGGUGCAAGCGUUAAUCGGAAUUACUGGGCGUAAAGCGCACGCAGGCGGUUGAUUGAGUCAGAUGUGAAAUCCCCGGGCUUAACCCGGGAAUUGCAUCUGAUACUGGUCAGCUAGAGUUUUGUAGAGGGGGGUAGAAUUCCAUGUGUAGCGGUGAAAUGCGUAGAGAUGUGGAGGAAUACCGGUGGCGAAGGCGGCCCCCUGGACAAAGACUGACGCUCAGGUGCGAAAGCGUGGGGAGCAAACAGG
RNAcentral lists this ribosomal RNA (429 nucleotides) under Chloroflexota bacterium. RNAcentral describes it as "Chloroflexi bacterium partial 16S ribosomal RNA". It matches the Rfam family "Bacterial small subunit ribosomal RNA", at positions 355 to 776 of the family's 1533-position model. Lineage: Bacteria; Bacillati; Chloroflexota. The record is from RNAcentral.